This 6354-nucleotide long non-coding RNA is filed under the name Gossypium barbadense (sea-island cotton). Its description in RNAcentral is "long non-coding RNA (GBAR_LNC006124)". The record is from RNAcentral. Lineage: Eukaryota; Viridiplantae; Streptophyta; Magnoliopsida; Malvales; Malvaceae.
CAUGUUUCAAUGUUUGACUAAUCUGACCACUCUUCAUUACGAAUCAAAUUUCUCAUUGUACAGAAUUCAAAAUAUGUUCUUGUUUAUUUUAUUAGAAACUAGACUCAAUAAGAUUUAAUUACAUAAUUUAUUCAGCUUCUAAUUCAUCUCCCACAAUUUAUGGUGAUUUUCCAAAGUCACGUUACUGCUGCUGUCCCAAGCAGAUUUUUUACCAAAUCACUCUUUCACACAUACCUUGCAUGCUUGUUAUUUAAACAUGUAUAUCACCAAUCGAUCAUCACAUAUCUAUGAUUUUAUUUAAGUACAAUCUCCAUUUCAUCAUUUUAAAGCACAACACGUUAGCUGAUUUUUCCCUUUAACAUCUAAGGCACAUGCAUGCUUAUUUGUUUGGCUCAACUUCACCUAUCUUCUAUUUUUCAUCAAAAGAACAUGAAACAACAACCAUUUCCUUCAUUUUAAUUCAUGACUAAAUGCUCACAACACAACUAAAAAUCAAAAUAUACUUCAAGAGUUAAGGUAAAAUCAAGAAGAACUAAUGAACCUCAAAAUAGAAGCAAGGUACCAAGAACUUACCGUCAACUUUCCUCCUCCUAAUGACCAAAUACUCAAGAGCUUUCUCCUCUCCUUUCUCUUCUCUAACUUUCAGCUAUGAUGAACAAAGAUGGACAAAACUUUGUUCUUUUCACCCCUUUUUCUUUUAAUAAAACUUCAUAUUUCAUCCAUUUAAUUCUUUAAUACAAAAGACAUGAAAUUCUUAUCAUGAAACAUUUACCUAACCCAUUAUCAUGAAACAUUUACCUAACCCAUUAUCAUGGAACAUUUACCUAACCUAUUAUCAUUGAACAUUUACCUAACCUAUUAUCAAUUUGUAUCAAUUUGUACCAUAAAUUAUGGAUAUCAAGUGUACAUUUUGUCUACAACAACAUGAUGGCUGGCCACUUCAUGUAAAAUGGGAGGUUUGUCAUGCAAAUCCUCCUAUUUUGCACUCUUAUUUAUUUGGCCACUUCAAUUUAGCCUAUAACAUUUUCAAACAUUUUCACAUAGGUCCUAUUUCAUAAUUUCACCCCGUUUUUCUUAUGGAACAAAAAUUAACUAAAAUUGUCGGGUUCUAUCUUAAGCUUGGGCUUUCUAGAGGCCCACUAACAUAAUUAAACCUAUGCCAACAUUCACAGGAUUCCCGAAAAUUGGGGCGUUACAACUUUACCCUCCUUAAAGAAAUUUCGUCCUCGAAAUUUACCUAUACCAAACAGAUGAGGGUAUUGCUAUUGCAUCGUCUCUUAUGGCUCCCAAACUCAGAAGUUUCCCCUUCCUUAACUUGUUGAAAACGAGUGACCAAAGACUCAUCGUUCAACUGUUUUUCCUUAAUCUGAUCUACCUAGGUUGGCCUCACUUGCAACUCAGCCAACAGACUUCUAUCAUCAUACAGACUCAGACGAGCAAACAUUGCUCUCAGAUCAGAUACAGCUCUACGACUUAGAGCAUCGGCUACCACAUUAGCCUUGCUUGGGUGAUACUCAAUCGAACAGUCAUAAUCCUUAAGCAACUCAAUCCAUCUCCUUUGCCUAAGGUUCAACUCCUUCUGAGUCAACAAAUACAAGACUCUUAUGGUCAGUGUACAUAAUACACCUUUCUCCGCACAAGUAAUGUCUCCAAAUCUUAAGUGCAAUUAUCACUGCUGCCAACUCUAAAUCAUGAGUCAAAUAGUUUCCCUUAUGAGGCUUAAGCUAUCAUGAUGCACAUGCAACCACCUUGCCCUCUUGCAUUAACACGCAGCCCAAACCCACGUGUGAUGCGUCACUAUACACAGUAAAAUCAUUCCCAGACUCCGGCUGAAUUAACACAAGUGCUUCAAUUAGAACUUUCUUCAACUUCUCAAAAGCUUUCUGCUGUUUCUUAGUCCAUACAAAUGGUACUCCUUUCCUUAUGUGUUUUGUCAGAGGUGCUGGCAUCACAGAAAAACCUUCCACAAACCUUCUGUAGUAUCUUGCCAGUCCUAGGAAACUCCGUAUUUCCGACACUGACCUAGGCGGCUUCCAUUCCAAAAUCACUUCAAUUUUCCGAGGGUCCACUUUAAUCCCCUCAGCAGAGACCACAUGUCCUAAGAAAGUUACCUCCCUCAACCAAAAUUCACACUUGCUAAACUUCACAAAGUGUUCCUUCUCCCUUAAUACUUACAGCACUAUACGGAGAUGCUCAUCAUGUUUCGUUUUAGUUUCAGAAUAUACCAGGAUAUCGUCAAUAAAGACGACUACAAUUGAUCUAAAAAUGGUUGGAACACAUGAUUCAUCAGAUCCAUAAACGCUGCAGGAGCGUUCGUUAGUCCAAAUGGCAUAACCAGAAACUCGUAAUGACCAUACCGAGUCCUGAAUGUCGUCUUUUGGAUGUCUGCCUCCUUGACCCUUAACUAAUGAUAUCCAGAUCGAAGGUCGAUCUUGGAAAAUAAAGAAGCUCCUCUAAGCUGGUCGAAUAGAUCGUCAAUCCUUGGCAGUGGAUACUUAUUCUUAAUCGUCAGUUUGUUCAACUGGCGAUAAUCAAUGCACAUCCGCAUCGUACCAUCAUUCUUUUUCACGAAUAGCACUGGUGCUCCCCAUGGAGACACGCUUGGCCUAAUAAAGCCCCUAUCCAACAACUCUUGAAUUUGAGCAUUUAACUCUACUAACUCCUUCGGUGCCAUCCUAUACGGUGCGAUAGACACAGACGCCAUUCCAGGCAACAAGUCUAUUCCAAACUCAACUUCUCGAUUCGGAGGCAAUCUUGGAAGCUCCUCCGGAAAAACAUCUUGGAACUCCUUUAUGGUCCUAACCUUAUCCACUGUCAGUCCCUCCUCUUCCGACUGACUUACAAAUACCAAUUAGGCCUCACAACCUUUCCAAAUCCACUUUUCGGCUCUUAAUGCCGACACCACAUUGGACAAAUAAUCCCUUCUCUCACCUAUCACCAUAACCUCCUCAUCCUUUGUAGUUCUUAACAUCAUUCGUUUAGCAGCACAAUCCAGAGUCGCCUUAUGCUUAACAAGCCAAUCCAUUCCCAGAAUGAGGUCAAACUCUCUGAACGGUAACUCCAUCAGAUCUCCAAGAAAAACCUUGCCUUGAGUUUCUAAGGGUACAUUCCUAUACAGUUUGUCUACCCUAAUCGAGUGACCCAAGGGACUUAGUACAGAUACCCCACUCACAAUCUCCUCAGAGCAGUCCAAGUUGUCCAUAAUUCGUUCUGUGGCCUCUAACCAAUAUUCUGCCACAUUCGGGGCUAUACCAGACACACCCUUAAAGAUCUCCGUUCCAUUAGUCCCGAAGUCAUUCAGAAAUAGAUCCCUAAUUUUGUUGCCCGAACUUGCUCCGGCAACCCUUUCCAGAACACGAAGCAUUGUCUGUGACAAGGCAUCAUCCUCGGCGGCCCGAUCAUAUGGCCCAUUCUCAUCCGUCGGUGGUGGUCGUGCUACUCCAGUGGGUAUGUGUUCAGAAGGCAAAGAUCCAGCUUGAGUACUACCUCGGCCUCGACCACGGCCUCUUCCCCGAGUAGCUCUCGUACUCAUAUCGAUUUAUCUUGAUUACGAAUUUUUAUGCAUCAAUUCAAUAUUCCAGUGUUUAUUACAGAUGUUUUAUGAAUCAGACAGUAAUUCAAAGUUUAUUUUCGCAGAAUCGAAGUCUAGCUACAGUUUCAGUCUCUUAUCAGAUUUUCCUAUGGUUUCAGAAUCAUCCUAUCUAGAGUAUCCUAGUAGGGUUUCAGUACAGAUAGAUAAUUCAGAAAAAUAUUCAGAAGAGUUCAGAGUAAUACUUACAGGCUUGAGCUGGAGAUUCAGAAUGCCACCUUCUAAAGAUCUAAAUUUUAAAAAUCGAGUUUUUCGCAUUCUUUAUAAAAUUUUCGCUUUCGAAAAUCUUUGUUUUUGUAACCCAUUCCACAGUCGAGUUGUUGCAACCUAGGCUCUGAUACCACUAAAUGUAGCACCCCAAACCCGACCCAGAAGUUAUGGCCGGAUCCGGCAUGCCACAUCAGAAACGUAAAAAAACAUUUCCAUUCUAAGUCCAGAAAAUCGUACUUGAUGUUCAAAAGAUUAAUUCAUUAAAGGUUAAAGUGAAUGGAAGCUGUGCACCAGGUAGGAAACCGGAAAAGAGGUGGUGAGUCCAUCGGACUGCUUAAGUACUAAGCUCCCUUCGGAUCCAAUCCUAGACAUGCAUACCGCCAUUGCCACACUUUAACGUCAUGGAUAUUUCUAGGAAACCGAUUUGAUUAAGUCAUUUUUAGGAAAAGUGAUUAAUUUUAGAAAAUACUUUCAUUGCGGAAGCUUUGCUUGUUGUCGUGUUAUUUUGAAAUCAACUGUUGUUUUUGAAAAUGCGCCCUAAAGCUAUCCAAUUUCAACAGUUAAAAUAAGUAUUACCUAUCUUAGUAAUACAUAUAAAAAAAACAUCAAAAAUAAAUAAGCGGCCUUAUUACAUUUAAAAACCCAAAACUUCAAACGUAAAUAAAAGGAUGUCCAGUUCACCAGAAGAAAAUCAAACUUUCAGAACAGGUGGCCACCCCGAAUUCCCUCACAGCUCCAAGCCCACUAUGGUUGGGGAUUACCUGCGUGGAUGAAAAUAAAAGGGGUGAGUUUGGGGAAACUCAGUGUGUAAAUUAACCCAACCAUAGCCUAUAUCAGCUUAAACCACAGAAAUAGAAUAAGUUGGCCUUAGCCCAGAACAGAAUUCAAAAUAAAUCCCAUAGGCCCAUAACAGAACAGAACAGAUAUUACAUGUUUAUGCAGAAACCCAACCAUAUCCAACCGUAUACACCCCCGUACCAACCUUACACCGUGUGGGGAGACAACUCGACCCACCCAACCGCUACACACCACAGAAUUUGCAGCAUGGCUGCUAGAACAGAUAAUGUGACAGUGUCACCAGAUACAGAUAAUCGUGGCAGAGCCGCCAGAACAGAUAUAUGUGGCAGAGCCACCAGAUCAGAUAUUUGUGGCAUAGCCACCAGAAUGCUUCCUCCAUAAUAUAACCCAUGUCCCCAUGCAAUAGAUAUAUAAUCAUGGCAUACAUCAUACAGAAUCAGAUCGUCAUGCUUUUCAGUCAAAAUUAACCCUAGGGGUAUAACGGUAAUUUUGCACCUAGGGGUAUAACAGUAAUUUUCCAUACAUAGGGGUAUUAUAGUAAUUUAGCUACUUUUAGGAUUUUCAUGCAUAUCCUAACUAUUUACGUACUAUCAGAACACUUACCGCACAUACUUACUGAAUUAGGCCCGUUGGCCCAUGAACCCGAUCUUUGGCCCAUUAAGCCCAAAUUAUCAAAAUGUACGAAAUCGCGCGUACUGCAGUUUAUUAAUUUAGAUUACCAAAUAUACAAACCCAACUAUCUUACGAGCAUUCGCACACUCGCAAAUUCCCAAAAUACUGACUUUUCGGCUUUUUGGCUUUUGCCAAUCUAGUCCAUGAGAGGGUGUCAGUUACACACCUGUUUGCGACGAUAUGCUGACGAGAUCCACACACGAACCGCCUACAAUUGGAUUACUAACACGUUAAUCUAACUAUUCAAAUACGAACUACGUAUUAACCCCUUACAAUAUUCGGCCAACCACACCUACAGAUCAUAGUAAGCUUAUAAGAAAUCAAGAAGCAACUCAUUAACAAAUUUUUGUCAAUGUUUACCACAUAAUCAUAAUUUCACUGCAAGUUGUCUUCCUGAGCAACAGUCACUAAAUUAUUUAUAACUGGAACUACGAAACUCCAAAUCAAGUGCCGUUAAUUUUCCCUGAAAAUAGACUCAUAUAUCUUUUAUCCAUAAAAUUUUCAGAAUUUUUGGUAUGACCAAUCAAUACCAUAUUUUUCUUAAAGUUUCCCAUGUUUCACUAUUUGACUAAUCUGACCACUCUUCAUUACGAAUCAAAUUUCUCAUUGUACAGAAUUCAAAAUAUGUUCUUGUUUAUUUCAUUAGAAACUAGACUCAAUAAGCUUUAAUUACAUAAUUUAUUCAGCUUCUAAUUCAUCUCCCACAAUUUAUGGUGAUUUUCCAAAGUCACGUUACUGCUGCUGUCCCAAGCAGAUUUUUUACCAAAUCACUCUUUCACACAUACCUUGCAUGCUUGUUAUUUAAACAUGUAUAUCACCAAUCAAUCAUCACAUAUCUAUGAUUUUAUUUAAGUAUAAUCUCCAUUUCAUCAUUUUAAAGCACAACACGUUAGCUGAUUUUUCCCUUUAACAUCUAAGGCACAUGCAUGCUUAUUUGUUUGGCUCAACUUCACCUAUCUUCCAUUUUUCAUCAAAAGAACAUGAAACAACAACCAUUUCCUUCAUUUUAAUUCAUGACUAAAUGCUCACAACACAACUAAAAAUCAAAAUAUACUUCAAGAGUUAAGGUAAAAUCAAGAAGAACU